RNAcentral lists this ribosomal RNA (746 nucleotides) under uncultured bacterium. RNAcentral's name for it is "bacterial SSU rRNA". It matches the Rfam family "Bacterial small subunit ribosomal RNA", at positions 649 to 1393 of the family's 1533-position model. The record is from RNAcentral.
UNGGAGAGGAAAGUGGAAUUCCUAGUGUAGCGGUGAAAUGCGUAGAUAUUAGGAAGAACACCAGUGGCGAAGGCGACUUUCUGGACGAAAACUGACGCUGAGGCGCGAAAGCCAGGGGAGCGAACGGGAUUGGAUACCCCGGUAGUCCUGGCCGUAAACGAUGGGUACUAGGUGUAGGAGGUAUCGACCCNUUCUGUGCCGGAGUUAACGCAAUAAGUACCCCGCCUGGGGAGUACGACCGCAAGGUUGAAACUCAAAGGAAUUGACGGGGGCCCGCACAAGCGGUGGAGUAUGUGGUUUAAUUCGACGCAACGCGAAGAACCUUACCAGGUCUUGACAUUGAUGGACAGAACCAGAGAUGGUUCCUCUUCUUCGGAAGCCAGAAAACGGGUGGUGCACGGUUGUCGUCAGCUCGUGUCGUGAGAUGUUGGGUUAAGUCCCGCAACGAGCGCAACCCCUAUCUUAUGUUGCCAGCACUUUGGGUGGGGACUCAUGAGAGACUGCCGCAGACAAUGCGGAGGAAGGCGGGGAUGACGUCAAAUCAUCAUGCCCCUUAUGACCUGGGCUACACACGUACUACAAUGGGAGUUAAUAGACGGAAGCGAGAUCGCGAGAUGGAGCAAACCCGAGAAACACUCUCUCAGUUCGGAUCGUAGGCUGCAACUCGCCUACGUGAAGUCGGAAUCGCUAGUAAUCGCAGGUCAGCAUACUGCGGUGAAUACGUUCCCGGGCCUUGUACACACCGC